Molecule: long non-coding RNA, 973 nt
Organism: Grammomys surdaster
Lineage: Eukaryota; Metazoa; Chordata; Mammalia; Rodentia; Muridae
Exons: 5
Source: RefSeq, a predicted model, not a curated record
GGCAGAUGCAAGAGGAAUUAAGAUUCCACCUUUCUUGGUUAAAGAUCUUUCAAAGGAAGAGAGAAACCAUCCUAUCUGGGAAGUCAGCUUCCAGACUCCGAUGGAAGCCUGGAAAUCUUCUGAUCCUAAAUCUUAGUUUAUUGACUCUUGGUAACCAUGGAUGAAGGACCCCCAUUCUCGUUCUACAGUCCCUCAAUGUAUGAGGUCCCUUAACCAGAAACUCAAGAUGUCCCAGUCUUGCUCAACCUCAAAUCUCAACACCCUAUUCUUUUCACCUUUCGGAUUAAUUCACAGGCCUCUGGUUUCCUGCUAAAGCUGAGGCAAGAGAAAGGAGAUAAGAUACCACAGGACCUAAAGGGGUUCAGAAACAAAGGCUUGGAUAAGAAUGGGCUUCAUCUUCUGAGACCACCUCACAUUCCUCAUGUCUUCACACGCCUGUCUGGAAUCCUGACCAGGACCUCAUCUCAAGCUCAGAUCAUCCCUGAACCCCACUUCUAUCCUUGCUCAAGCUCUUUGGAAUCAAGCUCAAACUCCUGAAUGUUCCAAGGCAACACCCUUUCUAGAGAUGCUGGAUCCAAGCCAAAUGCCCUGGAGCCCACUGUGUGUGUAAGUCACACCUCGACGAGUAACACUCUCCUUAUCCCUUUCAGCCCCAGUUCAGAAUGCUGUAGGACACCACUCUCUUUUUUGGCUCCACAUCCAGUAUAUCUGGAAUUCAACUCUCGGCUGACCAGGCCUCGCUACAGAGGCCAUCUCCUCUCCACCUGUUUCACCCAAGCCGCCUCCACCCAGUCUGCUGUUCUACUCUUGGAGUUGGAUUUCCAUUGGAGAGCUUCUGAAGUUCAGGUCUGGAGUCAGCAUCAUCCGAGCAGCACUCUCACUAGGAAGAUAUUACUAACCUUGCUCAAACUGGGUACCAAAGGAACAGACAGCUAAGGUCCCCUCUCUUAACCAAAAGAUCCCAUUAACCAGU